CAAUACCUAUAAGCAUACACUCGUAUAAUCUUGGAAAUAGGGUCCAAGAGUUUCUACCAAACUACCGUAAAUAGUUGGACUACGAGAGUUGAACAUUUUUAU
This 102-nucleotide non-coding RNA is filed under the name Bacillus sp. (in: firmicutes). RNAcentral's name for it is "Bacillus sp. Guanine sequence". It matches the Rfam family "Purine riboswitch aptamer". From Rfam's summary of the family: Riboswitches are metabolite binding domains within certain messenger RNAs that serve as precision sensors for their corresponding targets. The record is from RNAcentral. RNAcentral also lists the same sequence under 1 other name. Lineage: Bacteria; Bacillati; Bacillota; Bacilli; Caryophanales; Bacillaceae.